GUCUCUUUGACCACAAAUCUGUUUCUAUUUGUUCAAUAAAAACUUCAGUUUGAUUUUAUAUCUAAAUAUUUCAAGAAUUAAUGAAACAGAUGAAAGUUUUUCAGCCACAAAACAAACCGAAUGGAAAAAUAUUUGUAUCAUAAUUAACACAAAACUGUUCAUACGAAACCUGAGUUAUUGAAGUGACUGAGAUCAACGUAAACAAUGAAAACCUCAGAGGCCACCGUAGAUUCUCUGACAGCAGAGGUGAGCGUGGAGCGAUUUAAGAACUGACGUGUUUUUUUAGAGGAGAGUGUUUGAAAAAAGUCAGAGACACACGUCUGUGUCUGUGUGUCUGUGUGUCUGUGUCUGUGUCUGUCUGUGUCUGUGUCUGUGUCUGUGUGUCUGUGUCUGUGUCUGUGUGUCUGUGUCCGUGUCUGUGUCCGUGUCCGUGUCCGUGUCCGUGUCCGUGUCUGUGUCUGUGUCCGUGUCUGUGUCCGUGUCCGUGUCCGUGUCCGUGUCUGUGUCUGUGUCCGUGUCUGUGUCUGUGUCUGUGUCUGUGUGUCUGUGUCUGUGUCCGUGUCUGUGUGUCUGUGUCUGUGUCUGUGUCCGCGCCGUUCAGUUCAGUUCACCUCCAGCUGAAGUUUUCUGUGUGAGGGAAAAAUCUUUAAUUUUGACUUUUGAUGAAACACCACAGACGUUUAUGAAACACCACAGACGUUCAUGAAACACUACAGACAUUUCUGAAACACCACAGACGUUUAUGAAACACCACAGACGUUCAUGAAACACCACAGACGUUCAUGAAACACCACAGACGCUCGUGUUCAGAGUCCUGACUGAGAAAAGCUUCAAUCUUCUGAUUUUCAGGUUCCUGCUCCUCUCCACCGUCUGUCCACUGGGGGGCGCUCUACUCCUGCUGUCUGCAGCUGUGAGCGGGUGGAUUUCUCUACAGCUGUGUGUGUGUGUGUGUGUGUGUGUGUGUGUGUGUGUGUGUGUGUGUGUGUGUGUGUGCGUGUGUGUGUGUGUGUGUGCGCCCCCUCUUCAUCAGCGUGAAGCACAUGAAUGAAUGAAGACAUGAAGGUGUGAACACAGGUGAG
Non-coding RNA from Xyrichtys novacula (pearly razorfish), 1079 nucleotides. The record is from the annotation of a GenBank genome assembly. NCBI's taxonomy places the organism in Eukaryota, Metazoa, Chordata, Actinopteri, Labriformes, Labridae.